CAAUAGCGUAUAUUAAAGUUGUUGCAGUUAAAAAGCUCGUAGUUGGAUUUCUGGUCGGAGCGACCGGUCGGCGUCCUUUGUGGCGUGUGCACUGUUGUCGGCUCCGUCCAUCCUAGUGGGAAGGCGCGUUGGCAUUCAUUUGUCGGCGCGUGGCCCCGCUACGUUUACUGUGAAAAAAUUAGAGUGUUUAAAGCAGGCGUUCGCUGUGAAUACAUUAGCAUGGAAUAAUGAGAUAGGACUUUGGUACUAUUUUGUUGGUUUCUAGAGCUGAGGUAAUGAUUAAUAGGGAUAGUUGGGGGCAUCCGUAUUUAACUGUCAGAGGUGAAAUUCUUGGAUUUGUUAAAGACGAACUACUGCGAAAGCAUUUGCCAGGGAUGUUUUCAUUGAUCAAGAACGAAAGUUAGGGAUCGAAGACGAUCAGAUACCGU
RNAcentral lists this ribosomal RNA (428 nucleotides) under uncultured eukaryote. RNAcentral's name for it is "bacterial SSU rRNA". It matches the Rfam family "Eukaryotic small subunit ribosomal RNA", at positions 592 to 1018 of the family's 1831-position model. The record is from RNAcentral.